This 942-nucleotide ribosomal RNA is filed under the name Bacillus licheniformis. RNAcentral's name for it is "bacterial SSU rRNA". It matches the Rfam family "Bacterial small subunit ribosomal RNA", at positions 8 to 929 of the family's 1533-position model. Lineage: Bacteria; Bacillati; Bacillota; Bacilli; Caryophanales; Bacillaceae. The record is from RNAcentral.
AGAGUUUGAUCAUGGCUCAGGACGAACGCUGGCGGCGUGCCUAAUACAUGCAAGUCGAGCGGACCGACGGGAGCUUGCUCCCUUAGGUCAGCGGCGGACGGGUGAGUAACACGUGGGUAACCUGCCUGUAAGACUGGGAUAACUCCGGGAAACCGGGGCUAAUACCGGAUGCUUGAUUGAGCCGCAUGGUUCAAUUAUAAAAGGUGGCUUUCAGCUACCACUUGCAGAUGGACCCGCGGCGCAUUAGCUAGUUGGUGAGGUAACGGCUCACCAAGGCGACGAUGCGUAGCCGACCUGAGAGGGUGAUCGGCCACACUGGGACUGAGACACGGCCCAGACUCCUACGGGAGGCAGCAGUAGGGAAUCUUCCGCAAUGGACGAAAGUCUGACGGAGCAACGCCGCGUGAGUGAUGAAGGUUUUCGGAUCGUAAAACUCUGUUGUUAGGGAAGAACAAGAACCGUUCGAAUAGGGCGGCACCUUGACGGUACCUAACCAGAAAGCCACGGCUAACUACGUGCCAGCAGCCGCGGUAAUACGUAGGUGGCAAGCGUUGUCCGGAAUUAUUGGGCGUAAAGCGCGCGCAGGCGGUUUCUUAAGUCUGAUGUGAAAGCCCCCGGCUCAACCGGGGAGGGUCAUUGGAAACUGGGGAACUUGAGUGCCAGAAGAGGAGAGUGGAAUUCCACGUGUAGCGGUGAAAUGCGUAGAGAUGUGGAGGAACACCAGUGGCGAAGGCGACUCUCUGGUCUGUAACUGACGCUGAGGCGCGAAAGCGUGGGGAGCGAACAGGAUUAGAUACCCUGGUAGUCCACGCCGUAAACGAUGAGUGCUAAGUGUUAGAGGGUUUCCGCCCUUUAGUGCUGCAGCAAACGCAUUAAGCACUCCGCCUGGGGAGUACGGUCGCAAGACUGAAACUCAAAGGAAUUGACGGGGGCCCGCACAAG